Molecule: long non-coding RNA, 5663 nt
Organism: Hypanus sabinus (Atlantic stingray)
Lineage: Eukaryota; Metazoa; Chordata; Chondrichthyes; Myliobatiformes; Dasyatidae
Exons: 2
Source: RefSeq, a predicted model, not a curated record
UUGGCCCUGAUCACAUUUCAUGGACAUAAUUGCAUUUUCAAAAGAAACUGAUGUCUUGUUUCGAAAGAAACAAGGCUAAGCAUAAAGAAAAUAGUAUUUGGCCAGAUUUUGCUCAGCAAAACACCAGACAGUCCCUUGGUUUGUAACUCUCAUCUGAAAAAGACACGCACAAAGCUUGAAACUGCAAACUAAUUAGGUACAAUAACUGAAAGAGAUAACUUGUGAAUGGAAGAAGCAUGAUAGCUACGGGACUAAUUAAAUAUGAUUGGUAAACAAACUGAAGAGACUAAAAAAGACAAGUUCAAUACUAAACCAGAAAGCUAACUAUGACAUUGGAAGAGAUGUUAGAUUGAGAGAGAGAAAAGGGGGAAAUAGCAGUUUUAAAAUUUACACAUGCAAAAAUUCAAAACUUGAUGAUACCCGUACUUUGUUCUAGGCACGUUGGCCAGCACCAAUUCACACAUGUUGCUUCAAGAGGGUUUAAGCUUGAAAUGACUAAAUGAGAUGUUAUAGUGAGCUUGAUAUGUAAUUAAUGAGGAAAUGAGCCAUUCCUAAGGAAAACAGAGGGACUACAGCCAAGACACAGUCAUUAUGAAGCAAAAAAAAGAGUGCAAAAGAAAUCAAGACAGCAACUUCUGUAUAUUCAGACUUAAUAAGGCAUCCAAUGCUCUUCUGCAGAUGGACCAUUUAUGUACACAUCAGGCAUCAUUACCCUGGCUGUUAUUUUGACAAUAAACUUUGUUAAUGGGAGCUUUUCAGAAAGAUAAUUUUCUGCAUCUAAUGCUCAAUCAAUUUAGUCAAAUAGAUCCUGAAUCUGGCUAAUAUUCAAAUUAGUCAUUUAUUGUGUGCUUCAACUGUUUAAAAAAAAGAACUGCUGAUGCAUCAGAUUUGACCAUAUUCUCCACUUUGCAGGCAGUUGAUUUUAUAAGCUUGAGUUUUUAAAAUCCAUCAAUUGCCUAAUGCAAUUAAGUCUAAAUCAUUUUAAACCAAUUUGCCCAUUAGCUAAAUUUUGCUCACAUUAGUUACUGCAGAGUCGAAAUAUCAUGUCCAGGAUUUUCACUUAGCACUAUUAUACCUGGUCCUGUGUCAAAUUAUAGAUGUUUAAAAAUGCAAUAAAAUUUCUCCUGUAAAUAGUAGCAUCUACUCAUACAUCAGAAAAGCGACAUCUUAAAUAUUAUACACUCAUGACAAAAAUAUGACUUGAUUGCUGCCAGCUAAGCUAAGCGGCUGACACAUAUAAAAAUUCAUUGCCAUGUUUAGGAACCUGCAAGGCAAAUUAUUGUUGAGUUCAUAUAACUGAAGGUACACACAUCUUCUUGGAAAGAAAAUAUAGUAUAUCCAGGUUCAAAGCAUUUCAAAGCUCAAGACUUCAUGUGCACAGAACUUGAGCUGAAUGAAGCCACGCAGUUGAGUAGGGGUGGUAAACAUUUUGUUCCUCACUUACAACAACCCUAUCAAAUUAGACACCACACUGCAGGAUGACAAAGACAAAAACAGACUUGCUACUUCCAGUAACACUUCUAUACCUCCAAGCAGAUCAAUGAGUCUGAUUGACAGGUUAAUUACAAACUAUACCUUGGAGUACUGAAACGUGGUUAACUCACCUACUAGAUUAGAGUUUGCCAGAGGUAACAAACUCAAUGCCAAUCUUCUAGCAGUAACUUACAUUUAUAUGGAAAUGUUAACAGAGGAAAAAUAUCCACAGCCUUUUACAGAAGUAAUUAGCACAAACUGGUUUUCAUGAAUUUGACAAGUUUACUCUAAAAUAACAUUACUAUGCAUAACAAGUAUUGCUAACUUGAGGCUCUAGCAGCAUUAUUAAGCACAAUAUUAAAAUGGAUCUAAUCUUUUGAAUGUCUUUCCACUGCCUGAGAGAACUUCCAUUAUGGAUUUAUUUCUUAAACUUCCUUCAAUUUUCAAAAUACAUUGAAUCACUUUUAAAACUAUUUUAAAUAAUAAAACUAUCAAGAUAGCUGAGGGGAAAAUUAGUUGAGGUGCACAAAAUUAUGAGAGACAUGUUUCAACAGAUCAAUAAUUAUGAAAAGUAGAUUUAGGAUAAUUGGUAGAAAAGAUAAUGAGAAGUUGAAUUCAUUUUUCUUUAACAAAUGGUGGGGUUUGAAUACUAUCUGGUUAAAAGUGUAGUGAAGCACAAGGAACCUAGAUGAACAUUGAAUAUGCCAUUAUGUACAAUGCUACAUUCCAUAAACAGGGGAGUUGGAUUUGUCUCAUGAACAUUAUUUCCUUAGUCACGCCACACACGAUGGACCUAAUGGCCUCCUUUACAGAAUCAUGAAUAUUAACACACCAAUAUAGCAAUCAGUGCAUACAUUACUGUUAUCUGUUGUUCUACACAUCUUGAUUUCAUUAAAACAUAGUACAGUAGGUGCUUCAGGCCAAGACUGUACCUACUAAAUGCCUCUUAAUGUUACUUUUAUAUCUGCUUCUCCCACCUUCCUGCCAGCAUGUCCCAGGCUUCCAGCACAAUGACAUUGGUCUUGCAAAACUGCAUUAAAACUUUCCCCCCUCCCACAUGUGACCUAUUCCCUCUAAUAGAUUACCCUGGGUAAAAGACUAUUUACCCUAUUUAUGCUUCAUAAUUUUAUGAGCUUCAUCAAAAUGCCUCUCCAGCCUCGAAUGCCCCUGAGAAAACAAUCCAAGUUUGUCCAGUCUUUUCAUGUAACUAAUACUCUUCAAUCCAAGCAGCAUCCCAGUGAAUUUCUUCUAUAUCCUCUCCAAAAAUUCUGCAUCUCUCUUGGGGUAUGGCAACCUGAAUGGUACAUGAUACUCCAAAUGUGGCCUAACCAAAGUUUUAAAGGUUUAUAAGUUUUAUCUUCCAAUACUUCAUGUUUUCACCCUUCAACUGUUUUGUUAACAGCAAUCUACUGUGACAUUCCACUGUUCAAAAUAUUAAAAGAGACCACAAUAGAGUACAAACAAAUGUACCAAUGUCAACACAAAGCAAACAGCAAGGUCAUUAUUGGUGAAAAUUUUAGUAUGAUCAUUUGCAACACUGCACAAUUUGCAGAGAAAAUAUAACUGGUGACAUAUUUAUCUUAACCUUUCAGUCUGCUUUUAUUAAUACUGGGCUCUGAGGAAAAGCCAAAUUUUAGACUUAUGGCUUUUGCUUUUUUCCCCAUUCAGGGCAAUAAGGCACCAUCUUCAAACUGAGGUAAAUGUUGUGUUGUCCAGCACUACAAUUAUACUAAAUAGGAGACACUCAGAACAAGUCUGGAAUCUCUGGAGACUAAUAAAGUAUUGUUGAUCAUUAAAGUCUGAAAAACACACCAUCUCAAUCAACAACCACAUUGCCUGAUCAUGAGACACAAGUAGCAGAAUUAGGCCAUUUGGCUCACGGAGCCUGCUCUGCCAUUUCAUCAUAGCUGAGUUAUUAUCCCUCUCAACCCCAUUCUCCUGCCUCCUUCCUAUAACCUUUGACAACCUUACUAAUCAAUCCCUCCAUCUAUUAUUUUAACCUAAUUAAGGGAUCAGUCCUGAUUUAAUGAAGAAUGCAAAAGGGCAUGCCAGAAGUGACAGUAGGCAUUAUCUAAAAAUAAGAUUCCUAAGUAGCAUUAUUGAAAAGGACACCUGUAUAUUAAAAUGUUUGCAACAGAGUUAAGCACAUAGCCACUGGAACUAAAUCUGCCAUAUCUAGUAGUGUAUGAUGGAAGCACUUGCAAAACUUUACACUGUCCACAGUGCACAAAUUAGCAGCAUGGUAAAACAGUCUUCAUUUUACAAAUGUGCAGCUUCCAUUAACUCUCAAAAAGCUUGAAAUUUUAUUGGGCAAAGUGCAUUGUUGGUUCAUGCAUCACAAACAUAUCCAUUCCCUUCACUACUCCGGUAUAUUGCUGUAUCCAAAAAAAAGCACUACUGUUACUAGUCUAGAUUGUAGCUCAGUUUCAUGUGCCAAAGAGCAAAUGAUUUGCCCAGUUGGAUUCUUCAUUUUCAGCUAUUAAGCAGGGUUAAGAAACACUUGCUUCCACUCUAAGUCAAAGAUAUAGGAAAUGUGGUCAACAAAGGUGUUUUAAAAGGAACAUCUUAAAAGGAAUGGUGUAAUGCCAGGAUGGAGAAAAAUGCAGAAAGAGGAUGUCCUUGACAAAAUGUUCGAUUUGAGGCAUUGCUUAACUUUAUACUUAGUGAACAUAGCGGUGAGGGGUGAAUAGAAUACAGGUUUCCUGCUGAAGAGUCUCGGCCUGAAACGUUGCCUCGUCUUUUCCAUAAAUGUUGCCUGGUCUGCUGAGUUCCUCCAACAUUGUGUGUGUGUUGCUUGGAUUUCCAACAUCUGCAGAUUUACUCUUUUUUUCAAAUGUUGAUUCUCAAACUCAGAGCGCGGUAGCGGGCAAGAGAUUAAUAGUACUGGUCUAUCAAGUGAUUAUUCGCUGAAGUCGAUGAAUCCCACAGCAUCGUGGACGCUGCAUCCCACAUAAAAUACCAGAUACACAUGUCAUCUCCACUUCGUUGGCUUCAAUACCGGUGCUGAACUGUUGCACGCUACGGUCAGGGAAAACAAGCCGGAUGCCAAAAGUUUUGCAGACCCGCACGAAGUUAAAACGGUGGAGCAUUCACCGGGUUCACGAACCAUUCGUACUCUGAUAAAACGUCACAACUCCAAGCUCUGAUGCAAAAUCUAUGAACAUUUCCUCUUACUAAUGAUUAAAAUGCAUUGCAACACCUUUUACAGCAAACCGAUCUCUUUAAAAGUACAAGGUGUCUGUCAGCGAUGGGCUCGCAGUGUGCGAGGAGCGGCAGGUGGGCCCAAAGAGCCUGAGGAUCCCAGGAUGGCCCAAGGCACUUUACACACUACUUUGAAGUCUAGUGCGGGAAAAAUGGCAGCCAAUUUUAGUGUAAUUCCCACAAGCAACUGGAUGAUAUUGACAAGAAGAUCAGUUUAAUACUGUGGAUUGGGAGAUAAACAUUGGCCAGGACACAGGAGACAACUGCUCAGCUCUUCAUCAAUGUGACAUCAUGGAAUCUUAUAUGACAGAACAAAAAUGGCCUUAAUGUAUUGCCUCAUCUGGCAAACAAUUUUGCACUUAACACUCCUUAGUGAAGCUUGAGCACACAACCUUCUGAGUGAGAGGCAGAGUAUUACCUGUUCAGCUACAACUGGGUAAAAAAGAGAAGGUAGAAGAAAUCAUUAAAGUAGCAUUCAUGUCUUGCUGAGGAGGUAUAGCUACAAGCCUGGAUAUAUAUCUACAUAAUUGCAAAAACACAUUGGACGGAGCUGUUUCAGUUGACAAGGCACAAAACACAGAUUAUGUCCUGUAUUUUGAACAAAAUGACAGAAAAUACAUCAGGCAAAACAGCAAAACUGUGCCGAUGAAGAUAUACUAUACUAUGAAUAUAACAAGAAACUUAAUCCAGAGGGAAAUCUACUUGAAGAAAAGGCCCAUUUGUUCUAUAGAAUAUGCAGACUUGCUAUUUGCACAGGGAGAUCAAUGUUUAACAGAUCAUUCGUUCAUACUGACCUUCACUUUCUAGAAUAAGAAGCAGGCAUUUGCAUUAUAUUUAACUAAACAUUCAGAUAAUCCAUUUAAUCUCUUUUGUUUCCUGUUCACCUAUGAUUUAAAAUCUGUUGGCUGUGCUAGUUAUUUCUAUUCAUUACCAAGGGCAUAAAGAGACUGUAACAUUAAAUUCAGUGUCCAUGAUGGCCACAAAACAAC